This 2628-nucleotide small RNA is filed under the name Pongo abelii (Sumatran orangutan). RNAcentral describes it as "retained intron". Lineage: Eukaryota; Metazoa; Chordata; Mammalia; Primates; Hominidae. The record is from RNAcentral.
CUGCUUAUUUGAUGGGUGUGUGCAUGCCCCUGGAGGCACUGUUUAUUCCAAGAGUGUUUGAGGGGCUUCUGAGCAUGGUUUUCACACCUGUGUGGGUGCAUGUGGAGGCUUCAGCGUGAGUGCUGGCUACUGACACUGUGAGCACUGGGAACUAAAAAGUUGGCACAACGACUUCAUGUGGCCUGGCAUGCUACCCUUCAGGAGGGACAAGGUCCCUGACUCCAAUCCUGAGCCCUUCGCCCCAUGUUGGGUGGUGGAGCAACAGAACUGCUAGAGGCCCGGGACUGGCAUCCAGGGGGAGGUGGGAAAUCCCAUAUGCAAAUCCCAGGGAGGGGGAACUGCCAUGUCCUGCUCCCUUUUUGUUCCCUGACAACUGUAGCUGAGAAUCAUGGGUCAGUCUGGGGCUAGUGCUGAUGGUGAGGCAGGAGAAGUGGCUGAAGUAGUAGGGCCCCAUGAGUGUCAGAUUGCAGCGCAGGCUCCUCCUGUUCCUCUGGGAAGUAACCUGUCUCACCCCACUGGGCACCCCUACACACCUGACCCCAUGCCUUCUUCCAUUGCUCCUGUGUUUCUCCCCUGGUCCCUAACCCCUAAGUGUAAGUUCCCUGCUCCCCUCCCCUGCAGGGCUCAUCACCAGCAGCCAGUCGGCAGCUUAUGCUAUCAGCAAGUUUGUCAGUGGGGUGCUGUCUGACCAGAUGAGUGCUCGCUGGCUCUUCUCUUCUGGGCUGCUCCUGGUUGGCCUGGUCAACAUAUUCUUUUCCUGGAGCUCCACAGUACCUGUCUUUGCUGCCCUCUGGUUCCUUAAUGGCCUGGCCCAGGGGCUGGGCUGGCCCCCAUGUGGGAAGGUCCUGCGGAAGGUGAGUGCUUCCAAAGAGCCUGUUUGGAUUGUCAUAGAGGAUGCCUAAAGAGCAUGUGGGAGCGCCCCUUCUUACCCACCACCUCCACACCGAACCCAGAGCAGGUUCCUGAGCGGUUCCUGGCCAGCUCCUAUUGCUUGUCAAGAUAUUUUAGGAGGCUGAGAGUGGUGGGGUCAGGUGGCAGAGGAGGAAACUGCCCUGCCAAACAGAAGCGCCCUCUCCCUCUUCCCUGUAAUGUGAGCUUCUGGGGCUGCCCCACCUGACCCCACCCUCAACAUGGGCAGUAGGCUGGACACCUAUGUUGUCGCCCUCUGCCCCACAGUGGUUUGAGCCAUCUCAGUUUGGCACUUGGUGGGCCAUCCUAUCAACCAGCAUGAACCUGGCUGGAGGGCUGGGCCCUAUCCUGGCAACCAUCCUCGCCCAGAGCUACAGCUGGCGCAGCACGCUGGCCCUGUCUGGGGCACUGUGUGUGGUUGUCUCCUUCCUCUGUCUCCUGCUCAUCCACAAUGAACCUGCUGAUGUUGGACUCCGCAACCUGGACCCCAUGCCCUCUAAGGGCAAGAAGGGCUCCUUGAAGGAGGAGAGCACCCUACAGGAGCUGCUGCUGUCCCCUUACCUGUGGGUGCUCUCCACUGGUUACCUUGUGGUGUUUGGAGUAAAGACCUGCUGUACUGACUGGGGCCAGUUCUUCCUUAUCCAGGAGAAAGGACAGUCAGCCCUUGUAGGUAGCUCCUACAUGAGUGCCCUGGAAGUUGGGGGCCUUGUAGGCAGCAUCGCAGCUGGCUACCUGUCAGACCGGGCCAUGGCAAAGGCGGGACUGUCCAACUAUGGGAACCCUCGCCAUGGCCUGUUGCUGUUCAUGAUGGCUGGCAUGACAGUGUCCAUGUACCUCUUCCGGGUAACAGUGACCAGUGACUCCCCCAAGCUCUGGAUCCUGGUAUUAGGAGCUGUAUUUGGUUUCUCCUCGUAUGGCCCCAUUGCCCUGUUUGGAGUCAUAGCCAAUGAGAGCGCCCCUCCCAAAUUGUGUGGCACCUCCCACGCCAUUGUGGGACUCAUGGCCAAUGUGGGCGGCUUUCUGGCUGGGCUGCCCUUCAGCACCAUUGCCAAGCACUACAGUUGGAGCACAGCAUUCUGGGUGGCUGAAGUGAUUUGUGCAGCCAGCACAGCUGCCUUCUUCCUCCUACGAAACAUCCGCACCAAGAUGGGCCGAGUGUCCAAGAAGGCUGAGUGAAGAGAGUCCAGGCUCCGGAGCACCAUCCCACGGUGGCCUUCCCCCUGCACGCUGUGGGGGAGAAAAGGAGGGGCCUGCCUGGCUAGCCCUGAACCUUUCACUUUCCAUUUCUGCGCCUUUUCCCUCACCUGGGUGGCACUGGAAGUUAUCAGUGGCUAGUGAGGUCCCAGCUCCCCGAUCCUAUGCUCUAUUUAAAAGAUAACCUUUGGCCUUAGACUCCAUUAGCUCCUAUUUCCUGCCUUCAGACAAACAGGAAACUUCUGCAGUCAGGAAGCCUCCUGUACCCUUCUUCUUUUCCUAGGCCCUGUCCUGCCCCCAUCCCCACCAGAAGUGAGGCUAUCCCUGCAGCUGCAGGGCACUAAUGACCCUUGACUUCUGCUGGGCCCUAAGUCCUCUCAGCAGUGGUCGACUGCUGUUGCCAAUACCUCAGACUCCAGGGAAAGAGAGGAGGCCAUCAUUCUCACUGCACCACUAGGCGCAGUUGGAUAUAGCUGGGAAGACAAGAUGACUUGUUAUAGAAGAUUAAAACUAGAUUUGAUACUG